CAUUUUUUAACCAGUAGAAAAAUAAUCAAUUAUGCAAAAAUGUCCGUAAACACAAACUAAGUAAUUUCCAACAUAACUCAGGACCAUCGGUGAUAAUGCCAGAAAUAUUCACUAAGCCAGUCUCAAGCAAACUAUGGUCUGAGGGCCAAUCCAGCUCCCAGCUGACCUGGGACCCAAGGAUGUUUUUUAUGUUUUUUAAAACAUGGUAACAAAGAAAGCGCAGAAGAAUCAACAGCAACUGUUCAUAACCGGCAACAUCUAAGAUAUUUCCAGAAAAAAGUUUGCCUACCCCUGUAGCAAGCAGUUCCAAACUCCGUGAGGUGAACUGCGUUUUCCAUCUCAGACCACACGCAGGUGGAUAAAGCCUUCUGUCCUAGUGUUGACUUUCCACGGUGGGGGCACAGGCUGGUGGGUAAGCUAGGCCAGGAAAGAAGAUGGCGUUAGAUAAGGGCUUCAAAGAAACAGGCCUCAGGGUUGGUGGAGAAGUAGGGAGUGGCUUGUUAGGAGGGUGAUUCUUAAAAUGAACCUUCAAGGCCAUUGGAGAUUUUGAGGCAUACAGGAGGGGAGAGUGAACAGGGGAUCAGAGAGACCAGAAUGCAGGCAGUUUCUGUAACCCGCUGAGACUCACUCUCAGAAGCACUUAGGUGGCUGAAGGUGGCCUACCAGGCCGGAACGUGAGAGAGGGGCUUGUGGCAGCCACGUCUAUGCUGCCAGAAGAGCUGCCUCAGAGCUGCCUGUCGUUGGCCCUUGGAAGCCGAGGGAGAUACUAAAGUUUCUAGAGAAAGUUGAAGAAGCAGCUGUGAGGUGACAUCAAGGAGGGAGAGAGAGUACUGGCCUCCUUCCAAAGUACUCCUAGGACUUGGAGGGAAAUUGUAUGUGGAAUAUUCUUUCCAAUAUUGGUGGUGUGGCUCCUGUAUAAUUUGCCAGAUGAAAAUCAGGUGCACAUCUCUUCUGUCAAGAUAGAGACCAAUAUUUUCAGGGAAAAGUCAGAGAGAGGCAUCAGGAGGCAUGAAGCAUACUGGCAUGAGGCCUGCAGUGGACAAACACACAGAUCUUCAUCACUACAAAAAAGAUGCCUUGAUUUUCUCCCAUCCCAUCAAGCCAAACCUCAGAGGACCGCAGGAGGGAGAACUUGGUGGAGUAAACACACAGAGAACUUGAAGCACCUGUUGAACCACUCUUUUGGGUUGAAGAGAAUCCCUAAAGAACUGACACUGUCAGGUAUUCUUUAUGGUCAGGGAGUUAAUGGCCUAAAGUUCAAUUUGGGCUGAACAUUCUAAUAAGGCAGGUUCAAAU
Molecule: long non-coding RNA, 1296 nt
Organism: Vulpes vulpes (red fox)
Lineage: Eukaryota; Metazoa; Chordata; Mammalia; Carnivora; Canidae
Source: Ensembl